This is a long non-coding RNA of Clarias gariepinus (North African catfish), 591 nucleotides long. RefSeq lists it as uncharacterized. The record is from RefSeq and is a predicted model, not a curated record. The transcript has 3 exons. NCBI's taxonomy places the organism in Eukaryota, Metazoa, Chordata, Actinopteri, Siluriformes, Clariidae.
AUAAAGCAGGAACUAUUUAUCUGCAAGGGAAGCAGGAAGACAGAAGAAGUGUUGCGAAGGACAGGAACAGCGUGUGGAACGCGUUAGCCGUGGAUGUUAUUGCAGCUGAUCCUAAGCUCCACAGUCCUGCUUUCCCCUUCCAUGUAGCAGGCUUGAGGAUUUGCAGGGAUUCUAGGAGGAAGUGGGGAAAAAGAGGAAACAAUAACUCUUAAAUAAAACACAGGAAACAAGCCACCAGCCAAUAAAUCUACAGCCACAGCUCACAGACUGGGAAUGCCAUGCUAAUUAGCAUAACAAGUCACAAAAUCAUUAUGGCCCUAAAUUGCUUACAGAGACAAACAACAUCUAAGGCCUACAGGAUGUAGUCUGGGAUUUAGGAGGGCUGUCUAAUUGAAUAAAAAUGUUGCGGGGGCUUAGACGCAGGCAGUACGAUGGAAGAGGGAGGUGCUGUGCGACUGAUUGAUGGGGCGGUUUCCUGAGCGCUCGUCCGUCAGCCACACCCACUCCAGACAAGAGAGCCUACGGUGGCACAUCAGGAAGGUGCUGAGUGUAUUUAUGUGUUUACCUCUUAUGUUAAGCAUGUGUAUAGAC